This 253-nucleotide ribosomal RNA is filed under the name uncultured bacterium. RNAcentral's name for it is "partial 16S ribosomal RNA". It matches the Rfam family "Bacterial small subunit ribosomal RNA", at positions 524 to 776 of the family's 1533-position model. The record is from RNAcentral.
UACAGAGGUGGCAAGCGUUGUUCGGAAUUACUGGGCGUAAAGGGCGCGUAGGCGGUUCGGUAAGUCCUGUGUGAAAUCCCUCGGCUCAACUGAGGAACUGCAUGGGAGACUGCCGGGCUUGAGUUCGGGAGAGGGAAGCGGAAUUCCGGGUGUAGCGGUGAAAUGCGUAGAUAUCCGGAGGAACACCGGUGGCGAAGGCGGCUAUCUGGACCGACAUUGACGCUGAGGCGCGAAAGCGUGGGGAGCAAACAGG